UCUGGUGAUGAUGGCGUAGAGGAAACACUCCUUUCCAUUCCGAACAGGAAAGUUAAGCUCUACAGCGUCGAUGGUACUGCA
Molecule: ribosomal RNA, 81 nt
Filed under: Escherichia coli
Lineage: Bacteria; Pseudomonadati; Pseudomonadota; Gammaproteobacteria; Enterobacterales; Enterobacteriaceae
Source: RNAcentral